AAAGAGAAGACUAUUAGUCAAUCCAAACCACGUGACCUCUGGUUGGCACACAAACUAACAAAGAGGUUAUGUUUGUAUCUAUUUUUCAAUGAUUUUUCAUUGUUUAUCGUCGUAUUUUGUCUAUUUUGGAUUCAUUUGGAUUUCGUUUCCUGUUUUUGUUAACUUUAUAAACUUUACCACAAUGCAAAGUGAUUAUUUAAGGAAAUCAUUAUUGGAAACUCCAGAUGUUGCGAGAAAGAUAUUUAUUGAAGCUGAAAAUAAUUGGGGAUUUAGAUCCAUAGGCAAUUCAGUCAGAAUUGGAUUUUACAGUAAAGUGCAGUCCAUCAAGUUACUAUUAUAGAUAUUUAUACAUAUUUGGUGGAGUCUCACAGUUGCUACUCUAAGCAGCAGAUGAAAGAAAGCAUACAAAAGCCUUCAGGCACAUAAAUAUUUUACAGCUAAAUUUGUUUUGAACGUUGGAGUAAAAAUUGUUAAUGAUUUCCUGAUUUCCAUAUUAUUGUUGGAAAGGUGAAGCAUUUCCAAAAAGCUAAUGCUAAACGACUAAAUACUUGGGUGGGGUGAUAGCCAGUUCUGAUGACAUAGCAAAUGCACAUUGUAUGCAUAUGGCCGGUAAUAGUGAAGCCUGCAGCCAUAUUGCAGCAAUCCUAUUUUUAGCUGAGUAUGCCCAGGGCACGACAGAUGAAGAAGAACCAAAUGCAUGUACAUAUGUUACAGCUACAUGGUUUGGAGAUAGCAACAUAUGCAUUCUCUGAUGAAAAACUAAUGAGUUUUGAAACUGUUCUGUCAGAGUGCUUGUUGCGCUCACUAAACGAACUGAAAUAUAAGACGGUUUUGGCAUUGUGUUGCAGCGAUAUAGAAAAUGGCUAUUCAUUUUUAAUUAUAAUGUACUUCUUCAUCAUGAGUAAUUAUGUAUUGGUCUUUUAAAUGUGUAUUUAUUUUUGUAAUUAGUAUCAACUUGUAAUGAUAAUAUACAUUUAUCGUUUAAGGUAUGACUAUGUUUUGACUCUAAAAUAAAUGUUUUAAAAAUCGAA
Long non-coding RNA from Diabrotica virgifera virgifera (western corn rootworm), 1031 nucleotides. RefSeq lists it as uncharacterized. The transcript has 3 exons. The record is from RefSeq and is a predicted model, not a curated record. NCBI's taxonomy places the organism in Eukaryota, Metazoa, Arthropoda, Insecta, Coleoptera, Chrysomelidae.